ACGGGUGAAUAACACGUGGGUAACCUGCCCUAUGGUUCGGGAUAACUGGCCUAAAGGCCCGCUAAUACCGGAUGAGACCACAUGAGCUUCGGCUCAAGGGGUCAAAGUCCGCCUCUCAACCAGCCCCGCACCACAGGAGGGGCCCGCGGACCAUUAGCUUGUUGGUAGGGUAACGGCCUACCAAGGCCAAAAUGGUUAGCUGGUCUGAGAGGAUGAUCAGCCACACUGGAACUGAGACACGGUCCAGACUCCUACUGGAGGCAGCAGUGAGGAAUAUUGCGCAAUGGGGGAAACCCUGACGCACCAUCGCCGCGUGGGUGAAGAAGGCUUUCGGGUUGUAAAGCCCUGUCCCGUGGGAAGAACCUUCUGCAAGUGAAUAGUCUGCGGAACUGACGGUACCACCGAAGGAAGCACCGGCUAAAUCCGUGCCAGCAGCCGCGGUAAGACGGAGGGUGCAAGCGUUGUUCGGAAUCACUGGGCGUAAAGCGCGUGUAGGCGGUUCGAUAAGUCGAAUGUGAAAGCCCGAGGCUCAACCUCAGAAGUGCAUUCAAAACUGUCGGGCUUGAAUACCGGAGAGGGAAGUG
This 584-nucleotide ribosomal RNA is filed under the name uncultured bacterium. Its description in RNAcentral is "bacterial SSU rRNA". It matches the Rfam family "Bacterial small subunit ribosomal RNA", at positions 102 to 663 of the family's 1533-position model. The record is from RNAcentral.